GAUGAAGAACGUAGUGAAAUGCGAUAAGUAAUGUGAAUUGCAGAAUUCAGUGAAUCAUCGAAUCUUUGAACGCAUCUUGCGCUCCUUGGUAUUCUGAGGAGCAUGCCUGUUUGAGUGUCAUUAAAUUCUCAACUACACUGACUUUGAAUUGGUGUGGCUUGGAUUUGGGGGGGAAAAUUGUUGUGGGCUUUUUGUAUAGUCUGCUCCCCUGAAAUUGAUUAGCGGUACCUUUGUGGAACUGUCUACAGGUGUGAUAAUUAUCUACAUCCUAGACAUCUGCUGGAAUGCUGCUUUCUAAACCUUACUUGUAUUGACAAUCUUGACCUCAAAUCAGGUAGGACUACCCGCUGAACUUAAGCAUAUCAAUAAGCGGAGGG
RNAcentral lists this unclassified non-coding RNA (377 nucleotides) under soil metagenome. RNAcentral describes it as "partial contains 5.8S ribosomal RNA, internal transcribed spacer 2, and large subunit ribosomal RNA". The stretch from base 1 to 120 matches the Rfam family "5.8S ribosomal RNA", at positions 35 to 154 of the family's 154-position model. The record is from RNAcentral.